AAAUAUAAAAUUUGAAAAACAGUUUUAAAAGCUAAAACAAUUUAAAAUGUAACAUGUUAAAAUACAAACCUUAAACUUGCAUGUCAUUUCAAACCCAGCCCUUACAGCCUGAAAAGGCCUGACAGCACAAGAGUGUCUUUAUCUGCUGCCGAAAAGAUAGUAGGGAUGGAGCCAUCCUGUCCUCUUUAGGGAGGGAGUUCCAAAGCUUGGGAGCAGCCACUGAGCAGUAAAUAAUAAGUAAAUAAGUAAAAAUAUUUUACCAGUGAUUAGAUUAGAUUCAAGUUUACUAAAUCCUGCUUCCCUUCGGAGUACUGCAUUUGGAACACAUCAGGUAAUCUGGAAGAUGCUUCUUAGUGUGUGCAUAUUCAUGUCACUUGGUGCAAAUUAGCAAUGAAACCUACAAAAGGUAUUGGCCUACAAUAAUUUCAUAUAGAGCCAGUGUGGUGUAGUGGUUUGACUACUGAUGGCUCUGGAGACCAGAGUUUGACUCUCCAUGUGGCCAUGAAAUCCACUGGGUGACCUUGGGCAAGUCACACAACCUCAGAGGAAGGCAAUGGCAAACCUCUGAACAAAUCUCGCCAAGAAAAUCCCAUGUUAGGUUUGCCUUAGAGUCACCAUAAGUUGGAAAUGAACAACAAUUUCUUAUCAGUCUUGUCUGGCACACUAUGUACUGGAACGCCAUUUGUAUUCAAACAGCAGUGAGUAUUAUUUGGGUCCUUUUCUGAAUCACAUGAGACAUUGAUCUGUGACAAUCUCGCAUUAUUUUUGCGUGGUUCUAACCUUUGUGUGAAAGCCAGCGUAGUGUGGUUUGAGCAUUGGACUAGGACUCUGGGAGACAAGGGUUUGAAUCCCUGCUUGGCCAUGGAAACCCCACUGGGUGACCCUGGGCAAGUCACACUCAGCCUCAGAGGAAGGCAAAAGGCUGUGAUAGGUUUGCUUUGGGGUUACCAUAAGUCGGAAAUGGCUUGAAGGCACACAACAACAAUUGUACAUUCCAGAGGGACAUCCAAGGCAGCCAUUUUAAGGGAAAAGGUGGAAAGAAGGAAUAUGUUUCAUUUACUGGAUGGCGCACUUUCAUUUUGAUGCAACAUAAUUGUAACAUAAUGUGACAAGGCAAUGUUUUUAUUUUAACUGUAUUGUAAUAUUGUUGGUCUAAAUAGCCUAAAGACACCAAAUCUCUUCUGACUUGGAAGCUAAGCAGGGUCAGCUUAGAGACCACCCACUGAAUACCAGGUGCCAUGGGCUAUAUUUCAGAGGAAGGAACUGGCAAAACCAUCUAUUGGCAACAUGUGUCCUGGUUUUUCAUCUGUGAAAUGUUGGAAGAUAUGCUGCCAUUUCAGUGAAUGGUGAACCUGCUCUAGGUUUUACAUUGAACUUGAAAGGAAUUAUCUAAAGAGCUGAAGCUAUUGGCUGAAGUGGUACAGUGACGAGAAGAAGAAAUAAAACUUGGUCUUCCUUAUUGUAUAAACUGGCUUGAGUUAUUUCCAUCACCCUGAUCCCCCCAUCUUGCUUCUCAGUGAGGGGUCUUGUUUAUCAGAGGCCUUUUCAUACUACACAGUUAUAACCCUAUGGUUCCACUUGAGCAGCCAUGGCAAC
Long non-coding RNA from Sceloporus undulatus (fence lizard), 1596 nucleotides. RefSeq lists it as uncharacterized. The transcript has 3 exons. NCBI's taxonomy places the organism in Eukaryota, Metazoa, Chordata, Lepidosauria, Squamata, Phrynosomatidae. The record is from RefSeq and is a predicted model, not a curated record.